UACGUAGGGUGCUAGCGUUGUCCGGAAUUAUUGGGCGUAAAGGGCUCGUAGGCGGUCUGUCACGUCGAAUGUGAAAACUCAGGGCUUAACCCUGAGCCUGCUUCCGAUACGGGCAGACUAGAGGUAUGCAGGGGAGAAUGGAAUUCCUGGUGUAGCGGUGAAAUGCGCAGAUAUCAGGAGGAACACCAGUGGCGAAGGCGGUUCUCUGGGCAUUACCUGACGCUGAGGAGCGAAAGUGUGGGGAGCGAACAGG
This 253-nucleotide ribosomal RNA is filed under the name uncultured bacterium. Its description in RNAcentral is "partial 16S ribosomal RNA". It matches the Rfam family "Bacterial small subunit ribosomal RNA", at positions 524 to 776 of the family's 1533-position model. The record is from RNAcentral.